UAUUAUUUCAUUACGGAUUCUACUUUUACGGGUUUACGUUUUCGGCGGAAAAAUUACGGGUUUACUUUUUUGGCGGAAGAAUCAUGGGUUUACAUUUUUUUCGGGAAAAUUACGGGUUUAUGUUUUUGGCGGAAAAAUUACAGGUUUACGUUUUUGGCGGGAAAAUCACGGGUUUACGUUUUUUUGGCGGAAAAUAUUAU
This 200-nucleotide small RNA is filed under the name Arabidopsis thaliana (thale cress). RNAcentral describes it as "ATSL093220". Lineage: Eukaryota; Viridiplantae; Streptophyta; Magnoliopsida; Brassicales; Brassicaceae. The record is from RNAcentral.